Molecule: ribosomal RNA, 445 nt
Filed under: uncultured bacterium
Lineage: Bacteria
Description: bacterial SSU rRNA
Rfam family: Bacterial small subunit ribosomal RNA
Source: RNAcentral
UAGUCCACGCCGUAAACGAUGUCUACUAGCCGUUGGAAGACUUGAUCUUUCAGUGGCGCAGUUAACGCGAUGAGUAGACCGCCUGGGGAGUACGGCCGCAAGGUUAAAGCUCAAAUGAAUUGACGGGGGCCCGCACAAGCGGUGGAGCAUGUGGUUUAAUUCGACGCAACGCGAAGAACCUUACCAGGUCUUGACAUCCUGUGAACUUUCUAGAGAUAGAUUGGUGCCUUCGGGAACACAGUGACAGGUGCUGCAUGGCUGUCGUCAGCUCGUGUCGUGAGAUGUUGGGUUAAGUCCCGUAACGAGCGCAACCCUUGUCCUUAGUUGCCAGCAUGUUGUGAUGGGAACUCUAAGGAGACUGCCGGUGACAAACCGGGAGGAAGGUGGGGGACGACGUCAAGUCAUCAUGGCCCUUACGGGCCUGGGGCUACACACGUGCUACAAU